RNAcentral lists this long non-coding RNA (1907 nucleotides) under Vulpes vulpes (red fox). RNAcentral's name for it is "lncRNA (ENSVVUG00000029704.1)". The record is from RNAcentral. Lineage: Eukaryota; Metazoa; Chordata; Mammalia; Carnivora; Canidae.
UGGGAACCCAGAGAGAGGAAUGAGGGUGGGAAAGCCUGAGACAAAUGUGGGACAAAUGGCCAGAAUGGUGGGAAGAAAACCAGGAGCUCGGGACAGAGGAGGAGAAUGUUCCAGCAGGAGAGUGCCAAGGGUCUAGGAGCGAGACUGAGGAGGCCAGAGGUGGCAGGGCACAGGAGAUGGGGCCACUGAGGGACAAGUAGAGGACUCCCCCUCUCCCAAGCUUGGAUGCCAGGGCUACAGAGAACGGGCAGCUCAAGCCAGGGUGUCACAGGGAAUCCAAGGUCCCCAUCACUGUUCCUGUGGCUCCGGCCAGGUCUCCAACAGCAGGUCCCAAGGGCUGCCUCUUACAGGUGACAAAUUGGGCUCUGUGUUACCCUCAUGGUCCCAGUCCCUGAUAGCACCAACCGCUGUCCCCAGAGUGGGGGUACCGUGAAGAGAGGCUUUCACUGCUAGAAGACCAGUCUCAGGCCACUGCUCCAGGUUGGUGACAGCAGAGUCAAAUGGGACCCCAGAGUGGCCCGGGCUGCACCCCGAUGCUCAGGGCCCCCACAGGCCCUGUCCUUUGUCUCUGUGUCGAGGGCAUGAUGCUGGCAAUGGGAGAGGCAGGGGUGGGGCGGGGAGGGCCCAGCUGGCAGGUACUGAGCUCUCCGCACCUGCUGGUGUGGUGGCUCAGGUCCUUCUGUGCAUCCCUGCAGGAGGCGACAAGCCCUGAGAGCGCACUCACCAUGCCACUGAGGCACACGGUGACACAAGGAGAUGGCUCUGAGGACUGGUACCCGAUCGCCCGCAGGCAGAAGGAGUUGCCCCGGGGAGGGACUCAGGGACUCAUCACAGUCCCCCGCUGGAGGGACCUAUAUGGGGUCCGGGCUGCGUGCCUGACCCUGAGUGAGGGGCCGCGGCUGAGCCCUUGUCGCCCGAAGCCCGUCCUGCGCAGGCCUCGGGGCGCCCACCUGCUUCCGCACGGGCCUCCCCUCCCUGUCCCUCCCGACUCUGCCCAGGGCUGGCCCCGGAGGGCCGUGCUCACGCGCGCCGCACCUGCGCCCUCUCCUCUGGCGCUGGGUGCUCUGGGUGCACAUCAGUCACCGACGUGGGAAGCAGGUACUGCGGGCUGCCAGCCUAUGGUGAUUUCGCGGCCAAGACGCCUGACUUCGGAGCACCAGCAGGGCGGCCUGGCAGAGAAACGCGGGGUUCGCGCAGCAGGAGGGCCCACACACAGCCCGCUGGAUGCACCUGCGCAGCCUGUUUGGGCCGUUUGGCUCCACGCUGGACCCGGAGCCCCUAAGGCUGAAGGGCGGCUGACAGCACCAGCCUGGCUCUGCGGCUCCCGGGGCCUGCCUGGCAGAUGCACCUGCCAGCAGCUACCACCUGCAAGGCCCCGGGGCCAGAGCAGAGGGGGUCUUGGGGUGAGCAUCUGCGGACGCUGGAAGGGGCAAAGGACAAGGCAGGUAUGCCCGGCGGCUGGCAGCAGGCCCCCCGGGGGCUCACACAUCGUGCCUCGAAAGUGCAGCCAAGCUCAGGGGGCCCUGGGAGGUCACGAGGUCCUCCCCUCUCCCCAGCUCUACAGGUGAGGAAACUGAGGCACCAGAGACCAAGCUGCCCCUCUCCUGUGGUUUCCAGGAGAACUCAGGGGAAUUCGGCCCAGCUGCAGGCAGGAGCCGGGCCUCCCUUGGCUGCCCCCUCAUCCAUGGCGCUGCUGGCAUCCCGGCUCCGCGCCUCCCUCCGGAUGCCGUCUGGGCCUGGCGUCGCCUCGCUCUGGGCUCCCUGAGCAGAGACGCCGGAGGCCUGCCAGCAGCUGGCCCACAGCAGCCCGCAGCCUCAUGCUGCUUCUCUAUCCCGCGCCCCACGUGGGGGGCCAAGUCAGCUACCACUGACCUGGGAGCCCCCUGCGCCCCCUCCCUGCCUCCUCC